AUUGAACGCUGGCGGCAUGCCUUACACAUGCAAGUCGAACGGUAACGGGCCUUCGGGUGCCGCCGAGUGGCGAACGGGUGAGUAAUACAUCGGAACGUGCCCGAUCGUGGGGGAUACGAGGCGAAAGCUUUGCUAAUACCGCAUACGAUCUACGGAUGAAAGCAGGGGACCGCAAGGCCUUGCGCGGACGGAGCGGCCGAUGGCAGAUUAGGUAGUUGGUGGGAUAAAAGCUUACCAAGCCGACGAUCUGUAGCUGGUCUGAGAGGAUGAUCAGCCACACUGGGACUGAGACACGGCCCAGACUCCUACGGGAGGCAGCAGUGGGGAAUUUUGGACAAUGGGCGCAAGCCUGAUCCAGCCAUGCCGCGUGCAGGAUGAAGGCCUUCGGGUUGUAAACUGCUUUUGUACGGAACGAAAAGCCUUCUUUUAAUACAGGAGGGUCAUGACGGUACCGUAAGAAUAAGCACCGGCUAACUACGUG
RNAcentral lists this ribosomal RNA (481 nucleotides) under uncultured bacterium. RNAcentral describes it as "partial 16S ribosomal RNA". It matches the Rfam family "Bacterial small subunit ribosomal RNA", at positions 30 to 507 of the family's 1533-position model. The record is from RNAcentral.